Molecule: ribosomal RNA, 466 nt
Filed under: uncultured bacterium
Lineage: Bacteria
Description: partial 16S ribosomal RNA
Rfam family: Bacterial small subunit ribosomal RNA
Source: RNAcentral
GACGAACGCUGGCGGCGUGCUUAACACAUGCAAGUCGAACGGAAAGGCCCUGCUUUUGUGGGGUGCUCGAGUGGCGAACGGGUGAGUAACACGUGAAUAACCUGCCCUUGACUUUGGGAUAACUUCAGGAAACUGGGGCUAAUACCGGAUAGGAGCUCCUGCUGCAUGGUGGGGGUUGGAAAGUUUCGGCGGAGGGGGAUGGACUCGCGUCUUAUCAGCUUGUUGGGGGGAUAGUGGCUUACCAAGGCUUUGACGGGUCGCCGGCGUGAGAGGGUGGACGGACACAGGGAGACUGAGAUACGGCAGUUACUCAUACGGGAGGCAGGAGUGGAAAAUAUUGGACAGGGGGGACAACUCUGACAGAGCAGUUGUGUGUGGAAGAUGAAGGUUUUCGGAUUGUAAAGUGUUUGCAGCAGAGAAGAAAAGAAUGACGGUACCGGCAGAAGAAGCGACGGCUAAAUACGUG